This is a long non-coding RNA of Ixodes scapularis (black-legged tick), 743 nucleotides long. RefSeq annotates it as THAP domain-containing protein 1. NCBI's taxonomy places the organism in Eukaryota, Metazoa, Arthropoda, Arachnida, Ixodida, Ixodidae. The transcript is spliced from 6 exons. The record is from RefSeq and is a predicted model, not a curated record.
AAGCGUAGCUUUGCCCGUGGCAUACGAAGAACCGAUGCCGCGGAGGUUCGCGUUUGGAUCUCGACGUAUAAGCGCGAGACCGCUACCGUGUGAAGCAUCUAAAGUGUCGCAGUGUAGUUUGUGCAACAAUGCCUGCUUGCUGUGCGUUCGGGUGUGCCAACAGGUCAGAGAAUGGGAAAAGACUCUUCCGCAUUCCGUUGGGAAAGGGCGCGACAGCGAGACGUAAAGCAUGGUUAACCGUUGUGAACCGAAAAGAUUUCAAGCCCGGCGCGGGAAGCAAGCUUUGUGAGGAUCACUUCGAGCAGUCUCAGUUCGAAAACCACCGAGCCGAUGGCAGGAAGCUGCUUAAACAAGAUGCAGUGCCUACUAUUCUUGGCUCCGAGCGUAACUCAAACGAGCUAAAACGCAACAGAAAGAUGCCAGUGAAGCAAGUUUCAGCCUUUCUGUCAGACACCGUGCGGACAGACUCUCCCGCCUCUGACUGCCACAAGACCUUGAGCCCAGAAAGCGCAACAGGUUACAGUGAAAGGAACCCUGACAGAGCUCUCUCGGGCUGCACAAUUGAGACUCCGAGCGACAGUGCCGUGUUGCAAGAUGCCAUGUCGACAGACUUUCAGCCCUCUGACUGCCACGAGACCUUGAGCCCAGGAAGCGCAGCGGGUUACAGUGAAAGGAACCCUGACAGAGCUCUCUCGGGCUGCACAAUUGAGACUCCGAGCGACAGUGCCGUGUUGCAAGGUUAG